AAUCAACGCUGGCGGCGUGCCUCAGACAUGCAAGUCGAACGAUUAAACUUUCCUUCGGGAAAGAUAUAAAGUGGCGCACGGGUGAGUAACACGUAAGUAAUCUACCCUCGAGUGGGGAAUAACGUCCGGAACGGACGCUAAUACCGCAUAAUGCAGCGGCACCGCAAGGUGACAGUUGUUAAAGAUUUAUCGCUUGAGGAGGAGCUUGCGGCAGAUUAGCUAGUUGGUAAGGAAUGGCUUACCAAGGCUACGAUCUGUAACCGGUCUAAGAGGACGGUCGGUCACACUGACACUGAAUAACGGGUCAGACUCCUACGGGAGGCAGCAGUCGGGAAUUUUGGGCAAUGGGCGAAAGCCUGACCCAGCAACGCCGCGUGAAGGAUGAAGUAUUUCGGUAUGUAAACUUCGAAAGAAUGGGAAGAAUAAAUGACGGUACC
Molecule: ribosomal RNA, 437 nt
Filed under: uncultured bacterium
Lineage: Bacteria
Description: bacterial SSU rRNA
Rfam family: Bacterial small subunit ribosomal RNA
Source: RNAcentral